Molecule: ribosomal RNA, 417 nt
Filed under: uncultured bacterium
Lineage: Bacteria
Description: bacterial SSU rRNA
Rfam family: Bacterial small subunit ribosomal RNA
Source: RNAcentral
GGAAUAUUGGGCAAUGGACGCAAGUCUGACCCAGCCAUGCCGCGUGCAGGAAGAAGGGAUUAUGUCUUGUAAACUGCUUUAGCAGGGGAAGAAAAAAUCCAUGCGUGGAUAAUUGACGGUACCCUGAGAAUAAGCACCGGCUAACUCCGUGCCACCAGCCGCGGUAAUACGGGGGGUGCAAGCGUUGUCCGGAUUUAUUGGGUUUAAAGGGUGCGUAGGCGGAUUAUUAAGUCAGUGUUAAAAUUCGGCAGCUUAACUGUCGGCCUGGCAUUGAUACUGAUAAUCUUGAGUAUAAACGAGGCAGGCGGAAUUUAUGGUGUAGCGGUGAAAUGCAUAGAUACCAUAAGGAACACCGAUAGCGAAGGCAGCUUGCUAGGUUAUAACUGACGCUGAGGCACGAAAGCGUGGGGAUCAAAC